RNAcentral lists this ribosomal RNA (450 nucleotides) under uncultured bacterium. RNAcentral's name for it is "partial 16S ribosomal RNA". It matches the Rfam family "Bacterial small subunit ribosomal RNA", at positions 338 to 795 of the family's 1533-position model. The record is from RNAcentral.
CCUACGGGUGGCUGCAGUGAGGAAUAUUGGGCAAUGCCCGCAAGGGUGACCCAGCAACGCCGCGUGGAGGAUGAAGGCCGUAAGGUUGUAAACUCCUGUUAGAGGAGAAGAAUAGUACCGAUUGGAUCGGUAUUUGACUGUACCCUCAGAGAAAGCCCCGGCUACCUACGUGCCAGCAGCCGCGGUAAUACGUAGGGGGCAAGCGUUGUCCGGUGUUACUGGGUGUAACGGGCGCGAGCACGGCAGAGGUGAAAUCCUACAGCUUAACUGUAGAACUGCCUUUGAUACUGGUAUUCUUGAGUUCGGGAGAGAGAGACGGAAUUCCAGGUGUAGUGGUGAAAUACGUAGAUAUCUGGAAGAACACCAGUUGCGAAGGCGGUCUCUUGGUCCGAUACUGACGCUGAGGCGCGAAAGCGUGGGGAGCAAACAGGAUUAGAUACCCCGGUAGUC